Molecule: non-coding RNA, 345 nt
Organism: Biomphalaria pfeifferi
Lineage: Eukaryota; Metazoa; Mollusca; Gastropoda; Planorbidae
Source: the annotation of a GenBank genome assembly
AGAAAAUCAACAAUAUAAAGUUUAUUGGACAAUGUUUGAUCAAUGCCUGCAGACACAAUAACAGAUAUGUUUCUCAGAAUGGCUUUGUUCACUAAUUUCAAGGCUGUCAUUAGAUCACAGCAAUAUUUAUUGCCUAAUCAAACAAAACACAAUAAUUCCCCUGGCAAUAGUCUACAGGUUUAAGACCAAUUAACUAAGACUCAUGCAUGGCUUUAACACAACAUAAAAAAUACUAUCACAAAAUAAUGCAAUCGCAGAAUUCAACAAGAGGACUGCAUACUUCCGAGUUAAACAAACAAAAUUAAGUAUCAUUACAAUUAGAGCCAGAAGUAAUAUGUGUCCAAC